AGAGUUUGAUCCUGGCUCAGAACGAACGCUGGCGGCAUGCCUAACACAUGCAAGUCGAACGCUCGGGGGCAACCCCGGGAGUGGCGGACGGGUGAGUAACGCGUGGGAACCUGCCUCGAAGUUCGGAAUAACCGCGGGAAACUGCGGCUAAUACCGAAUGUGGCCUGAGGGCCAAAGGGGAAACUCGCUUCGAGAGGGGCCCGCGUCCGAUUAGCUAGUUGGUGAGGUAACGGCUCACCAAGGCGACGAUCGGUAGCUGGUCUGAGAGGAUGAUCAGCCACACUGGGACUGCGACACGGCCCAGACUCCUACGGGAGGCAGCAGUGGGGAAUAUUGGACAAUGGGGGAAACCCUGAUCCAGCAAUGCCGCGUGGGUGAUGAAGGCCUUCGGGUUGUAAAGCCCUUUUGGCGGGGACGAUGAUGACGGUACCCGCAGAAGAAGCCCCGGCUAACUUCGUGCCAGCAGCCGCGGUAAUACGAAGGGGGCUAGCGUUGUUCGGAAUGACUGGGCGUAAAGGGCGCGUAGGCGGUCUGAAUCGUCGGGUGUGAAAGGCCUGGGCUUAACCUGGGAACUGCAUUCGAUACGGUCGGACUGGAGUGUGGGAGAGGUUGGUGGAAUUCCCAGUGUAGAGGUGAAAUUCGUAGAUAUUGGGGAGAACACCGGUGGCGAAGGCGGCCAACUGGACCACAACUGACGCUGAGGCGCGAAAGCGUGGGGAGCAAACAGGAUUAGAUACCCUGGUAGUCCACGCCGUAAACGAUGUGUGCUAGACGUUGGGAGACCUAGUCUCUCGGUGUCG
This 800-nucleotide ribosomal RNA is filed under the name uncultured bacterium. RNAcentral describes it as "bacterial SSU rRNA". It matches the Rfam family "Bacterial small subunit ribosomal RNA", at positions 8 to 848 of the family's 1533-position model. The record is from RNAcentral.